RNAcentral lists this transfer RNA (21 nucleotides) under Phalaenopsis pingxiangensis. RNAcentral's name for it is "partial tRNA-Leu". Lineage: Eukaryota; Viridiplantae; Streptophyta; Magnoliopsida; Asparagales; Orchidaceae. The record is from RNAcentral.
AAUGAAAUUUAUAGUAAGAGG